Molecule: ribosomal RNA, 273 nt
Filed under: uncultured prokaryote
Description: partial 16S ribosomal RNA
Rfam family: Bacterial small subunit ribosomal RNA
Source: RNAcentral
UACGGAGGAUGCGAGCGUUAUCCGGAUUCAUUGGGUUUAAAGGGUGCGUAGGCGGAUUGAUAAGUCAGUGGUGAAAUCCUGCAGCUUAACUGUAGCAUUGCCAUUGAUACUGUUGGUCUUGAGUUUGGUUAAGGUAGGCGGAAUGUGUAAUGUAGCGGUGAAAUGCUUAGAUAUUACCCAGAACACCAAUUGCGAAGGCAGCUUACUGGACCGAUACUGACGCUGAUGCACGAAAGCGUGGGGAGCAAACAGGAUUAGAUACCCUAGUAGUCC